CCUACGGGAGGCAGCAGUGGGGAAUUUUGGACAAUGGGCGCAAGCCUGAUCCAGCCAUGCCGCGUGCGGGAAGAAGGCCUUCGGGUUGUAAACCGCUUUUGUCAGGGAAGAAACGCUUUGGGAUAAUACCCUGAGGUAAUGACGGUACCUGAAGAAUAAGCACCGGCUAACUACGUGCCAGCAGCCGCGGUAAUACGUAGGGUGCAAGCGUUAAUCGGAAUUACUGGGCGUAAAGCGUGCGCAGGCGGUUCUAUAAGACAGAUGUGAAAUCCCCGGGCUCAACCUGGGAACUGCAUUUGUGACUGUAGAGCUUGAGUGCGGCAGAGGGGGAUGGAAUUCCGCGUGUAGCAGUGAAAUGCGUAGAUAUGCGGAGGAACACCGAUGGCGAAGGCAAUCCCCUGGGCCUGCACUGACGCUCAUGCACGAAAGCGUGGGGAGCAAACAGGAUUAGAUACCCUGGUAGUCCACGCCCUAAACGAUGUCAACUGGUUGUUGGGAAGGUUCCUUCUCAGUAACGUAGCUAACGCGUGAAGUUGACCGCCUGGGGAGUCGGCCGCAAGGUUGAAACUCAAAGGAAUUGACGG
RNAcentral lists this ribosomal RNA (584 nucleotides) under uncultured bacterium. RNAcentral's name for it is "bacterial SSU rRNA". It matches the Rfam family "Bacterial small subunit ribosomal RNA", at positions 338 to 916 of the family's 1533-position model. The record is from RNAcentral.